RNAcentral lists this ribosomal RNA (519 nucleotides) under uncultured Glomeromycotina. Its description in RNAcentral is "SSU rRNA". It matches the Rfam family "Eukaryotic small subunit ribosomal RNA", at positions 569 to 1092 of the family's 1831-position model. The record is from RNAcentral. Lineage: Eukaryota; Fungi; Glomeromycota.
AGCAGCCGCGGUAAUUCCAGCUCCAAUAGCGUAUAUUAAAGUUGUUGCAGUUAAAAAGCUCGUAGUUGAAUUUCGGGAUCAGCGCGUCGGUCGUGCCUCCGGUAUGCACUGGCGCCGCUGGUUUCUCCCUUCUGAGGAACCGUGAUGUCAUUAAUUUGGUGUUGCGGGAAAUCAGGACUGUUACUUUGAAAAAUUAGAGUGUUUAAAGCGGGCACGCGCUUGAAUACAUUAGCAUGGAAUAACGAAAUAGGACGUUCGAUCUUAUUUUGUUGGUUUCUAGGAUUGACGUAAUGAUUAAUAGGGAUAGUUGGGGGCAUUAGUAUUCAAUUGUCAGAGGUGAAAUUCUUGGAUUUAUUGAAGACUAACUACUGCGAAAGCAUUUGCCAAGGAUGUUUUCAUUAAUCAAGAACGAAAGUUAGGGGAUCGAAGACGAUCAGAUACCGUCGUAGUCUUAACCAUAAACUAUGCCGACUAGGGAUCGGCUGAUGUUAAUUUUAAUGACUCAUUCGGCGCCUUAAC